RNAcentral lists this small nucleolar RNA (183 nucleotides) under Cariama cristata (Red-legged seriema). RNAcentral's name for it is "Small nucleolar RNA SNORD17". It matches the Rfam family "Small nucleolar RNA SNORD17", at positions 1 to 179 of the family's 238-position model. From Rfam's summary of the family: The snoRNA HBI-43 belongs to the C/D family of snoRNAs, guiding 2'O-ribose methylation at position U3797 of the 28S rRNA. Pseudouridylation in position U3797 is predicted to be guided by the H/ACA snoRNA ACA48. The record is from Rfam by way of RNAcentral. Lineage: Eukaryota; Metazoa; Chordata; Aves; Cariamiformes; Cariamidae.
GUGAGGUGAUGACAAAGUUUAUCCAUUCUCUGAGUGCAGUGGUGCUGCCCUCCUGCAGCACCCUGAUUCCUGUUCUAGGGUCUGGGUGCUGUGCAGCCUCCAGAGACCCUCCAGUCUCCCAGUGUCCUACUGGGGGCUGCUGUGGUGUGUGGCUGGCUGCCUGCAGGAGUGAAGUGGUGCCAG